AUUGAACGCUGGCGGCAGGCCUAACACAUGCAAGUCGAGCGGAUGAAGGGAGCUUGCUCCUGGAUUCAGCGGCGGACGGGUGAGUAAUGCCUAGGAAUCUGCCUGGUAGUGGGGGAUAACGUCCGGAAACGGGCGCUAAUACCGUAUACGUCCUGAGGGAGAAAGUGGGGGAUCUUCGGACCUCACGCUAUCAGAUGAGCCUAGGUCGGAUUAGCUAGUUGGUGGGGUAAAGGCCUACCAAGGCGACGAUCCGUAACUGGUCUGAGAGGAUGAUCAGUCACACUGGAACUGAGACACGGUCCAGACUCCUACGGGAGGCAGCAGUGGGGAAUAUUGGACAAUGGGCGAAAGCCUGAUCCAGCCAUGCCGCGUGUGUGAAGAAGGUCUUCGGAUUGUAAAGCACUUUUAGUUGGGAGGAAGGGCAGUAAGUUAAUACCUUGCUGUUUUGACGUUACCAACAGAAUAAGCACCGGCUAACUUCGUG
RNAcentral lists this ribosomal RNA (484 nucleotides) under uncultured bacterium. RNAcentral describes it as "partial 16S ribosomal RNA". It matches the Rfam family "Bacterial small subunit ribosomal RNA", at positions 30 to 507 of the family's 1533-position model. The record is from RNAcentral.